AGAAAAGCGGGGGAGGGAAGGAGAGGGGCGGAGCUAGGGGCGAGGGGCGGGAGGAGGGGUGUGGCGAAGGGAGGAGCUGGACCUGAAGCGGGUCCUGAACCGGAUCUGAGCGGGACCUGGGCGGGAUCGGGGGCGAGGAGGAGAAAGCUGGCGGCAGGGUUUUUCUGUGCUGGGUACCUACGUCCUAAAGUGAAUCGGCCGCUACCCUCCAGACUCUCGCUUAAACUUGCGGCAGGGCACAGUUCUCCAAACCAAAAGCUGAAAGCAGUUUGGCUUAUAGAUCUAAAAAAUGAGAAAACAUGAGGGUACCAUCUGUCUUCCAGUGACUGGGGCCUGAUGUAAAGAACUGGGAAGUGGCAUACAAACUCUGAUGAUGUCUGCUCUGCAGUUGGAGCACAUGUGAAGCAAGGUCCUGCAAGACCUGAAGACCUUAGCUUCUGAGAACAGUGGAACUGAUCUCUUAGACUUCAUGGGAGAGUUCCUGGAUAAACAGAACACAGACUAUCUGGAAUACCAUCCUGGUGGGCAGAAGGAAUUAGAAGAGCUGGCCCAAAGGGUAUCUGUUUGAAAAGCCUGCUAAAGCAUCAGGUAGAGACAAGUUCCGAGGGCAACACAGCAAGCCUUCCCAUUGUAGUAGGUCCCAAAGUCAGCUACCUAAGAAUCUUGACCUCCAUUUGACAGAAGACUGCUUUCACUUUUAUCUAGUAUCCUCGUUGUGCUUGAAAAUAAAUCUGCUUUGCAGCGAAAAGCUCAAUUAGCUUCACUUCUGUAACUGCACUUUAGGACUGGAAAAGGAAAUGACAAAGAUAAACCCCUUUUCUUCCAUCCCAAUUCUGAGGGGGGUAGGGGCGCAGGGAGUAGAGUAACAGAUAAUGAAGAAACACAAUGAAACCUGAGUCCUGGUGGCUCACAAUGGCUGCCACUGCUGACAUCCUGUCAUUUCUAUUCAGGCUGAAUGAAAAAUUAUACGGUCAUCCUAGAUGUAAAUCAUUUCCAUCCCAAAGGAAAGAAUGGGAGAAAUUUGAAUAUUCUGUACUCAGUACCCAGAUAGAAGAAAGGGGGCGUCAACUUUGCUGCCAUCUUUUUGUUUGCAAGGCUCAAACUGAUAAGCUUCUUUUUCUUUUGAAGUAUGUGGUGUAUGAUUAAUCUGAAUGAAAUAUGAGAAGCCUAGGGAGAUUUG
Molecule: long non-coding RNA, 1180 nt
Organism: Herpailurus yagouaroundi (jaguarundi)
Lineage: Eukaryota; Metazoa; Chordata; Mammalia; Carnivora; Felidae
Exons: 3
Source: RefSeq, a predicted model, not a curated record